Molecule: long non-coding RNA, 294 nt
Filed under: Elaeis guineensis (African oil palm)
Lineage: Eukaryota; Viridiplantae; Streptophyta; Magnoliopsida; Arecales; Arecaceae
Description: long non-coding RNA (EGUI_LNC016070)
Source: RNAcentral
AUAUAUAUAUAUGAAAAGUGAGAAAAACAGAUGAAACUUAGAUUGAUCAUAUUUGAUCAUAAAUCUGACCUGAUUCCUCAUUGUCUAUUCUGCACGGAUCUCCUAUAGCAAAAUAACAAGUUAACAAUCAAUUUUUUAUCAAUUUAAAUUUAAAAAAUAAUAAUAAAAAGAAAAUACUAUCAUUGUAGAUGAGAUAGAAGUUGACAUGUUAUUAUUAUGGAUGGAAAAGAAACCCAUGCACACAAAAGGUUGGAGAUUAUGUUUGUAUUUAUUUUAAAAAAUUUUUGUUUAUCA